This is a non-coding RNA of Cordylochernes scorpioides, 73 nucleotides long. The record is from the annotation of a GenBank genome assembly. Lineage: Eukaryota; Metazoa; Arthropoda; Arachnida; Pseudoscorpiones; Chernetidae.
GUCCAGGGAUGGGAAUCGAACCCACAAUGUUCCGCUUACCGGGCAGAUGCCAUGUCCGUUAGGCUACCCUGGA